This 1004-nucleotide long non-coding RNA is filed under the name Olea europaea (common olive). RNAcentral's name for it is "long non-coding RNA (OEUR_LNC009791)". Lineage: Eukaryota; Viridiplantae; Streptophyta; Magnoliopsida; Lamiales; Oleaceae. The record is from RNAcentral.
AUAUUACAAGCAAAUCAAAAACUUUCCUUAUUUUUAACCAUACAUUUUCCAUCAAUUUACUAUUCAAAAAUACAUUUUUACAUAAAAAUAUUUUUCAAACAUCCUCAUAAUGUCUUCGGAACACACAUAAUACCAGUCAAACUAAAACACGUGUUAGAACAAGGCAACCCUAAACAGAGCAGCCGUUCAUUCCUAUGCCAAAUCGAAAGCGACCACCGUCCAACUCCACCAAUCUACAGUGGCCAUUUUCUUCAAUAAAUUUUGAAAGCUGCAAUUUCCAUUUCAACCUCUUAGACUGUAGAAUCAACAACUGGCAACUGGUCACUUUUGCUAAACAACUGUUGAUGAUGAUAUUUUAUUAGCCCUUUUUUAUUGUUUUCUUCCAAUUUUUAGUUAUUGGUGGAACCCAAAUCUAGAAUUCUAUUUCCACCUUUCAUGUCCUUUUCAAUCUUUAUCCGAAAAUUUGCCAAAUCGAAAGCGACCACCGUCCAACUCCACCAAUCUACAGUGGCCAUUUUCUUCAAUAAAUUUUGAAAGCUGCAAUUUCCAUUUCAACCUCUUAGACUGUAGAAUCAACAACUGGCAACUGGUCACUUUUGCUAAACAACUGUUGAUGAUGAUAUUUUAUUAGCCCUUUUUUAUUGUUUUCUUCCAAUUUUUAGUUAUUGGUGGAACCCAAAUCUAGAAUUCUAUUUCCACCUUUCAUGUCCUUUUCAAUCUUUAUCCGAAAAUUCUUGUAAGUAAUAUAUUUCUUGAUAUUUUUUUUCUUCAGCCAUCCACCAGUUUUAGUGUAGAUUUCCAUUUCAUCUUGGUUCCGUUUGUCAUCAAAAUUUCUUCUUUUAUUCUUAUAAGUUAGUAGUAAUGAUAUUGGUUGAUACAUCAACUAUUUGUAUUCUUGUUUUAAAUUUUAAAUGAUAUCGAGUUUAGACUUGGAAGCUUAGGUGUUGUAUUUUUCGAAUUAAUAGUGUUAUUCCACAUCAGAUUAGGUAUCAGCAUAUCGCAUG